This 104-nucleotide transfer RNA is filed under the name Rhizobium sp. BK060. RNAcentral's name for it is "tRNA-Ser". Lineage: Bacteria; Pseudomonadati; Pseudomonadota; Alphaproteobacteria; Hyphomicrobiales; Rhizobiaceae. The record is from RNAcentral.
GGGGGAGCGGAGAAAAACCUUUCUAUCUCAAUGGCUUGCCACCGGUCUUGAAAACCGGCGUGCGGGAAACCGUACCGUGGGUUCGAAUCCCACCUCUUCCGCCA